GACGAACGCUGGCGGCGUGCUUAACACAUGCAAGUCGAACGGAAAGGCCCUGCUUUUGUGGGGUGCUCGAGUGGCGAACGGGUGAGUAGCACGUGAGUAACCUGCCCUUGACUUUGGGAUAACUUCAGGAAACUGGGGCUAAUACCGGAUAGGAGCUCCUGCUGCAUGGUGGGGGUUGGAAAGUUUCGGCGGUUGGGGAUGGACUCGCGGCUUAUCAGCUUGUUGGUGGGGUAGUGGCUUACCAAGGCUUUGACGGGUAGCCGGCCUGAGAGGGUGACCGGCCACAUUGGGACUGAGAUACGGCCCAGACUCCUACGGGAGGCAGCAGUGGGGAAUAUGGCACAAUGGGCGGAAGCCUGAGGCAGCAACGCCGCGUGCGGGAUGACGGCCUUCGGGUUGUAAACCGCUUUCGCCUGUGACGAAGCGUGAGGGACGGGAAUGGGUAAAGAAGCACCGGCUAACUACGU
Molecule: ribosomal RNA, 467 nt
Filed under: uncultured bacterium
Lineage: Bacteria
Description: partial 16S ribosomal RNA
Rfam family: Bacterial small subunit ribosomal RNA
Source: RNAcentral